UCACAAGUUGACUUGCUGAUUUAUCUUCGAUUAUUUGGCCUCUUAAUAAAAAAAGGAGAUAUCACUUUGACAUUGCCACUAAUAUUGAUCUGCUUAUAAAACAAAUAUACGAUUUGAAGACAUUAUAUAUACAGUAAUACAAGUUCCCAAAGAUAUGAGCAGAAGACAAGUCGACGAGGCGCUUGGCCUAGUAUCACGAACGUUCUCAGGUUUUAAACUUAACUCAGCAGAUGAGAUUUGAGUUUCCACUCAGCUGAGAAUUGAGAUUGACGUGGAGCUCACGAACGACCUCAAAACUCAUCUCAGUUGAGUUCGACUCAACUUGCCGUCCCGACUCAAAUAUUUAUGUGUUAAAGAUGUAAGCGACGUUCUUCAAAAAGAGAUUUAUUUAUAACAUUUUUACGGGAAACUGUCAGUUUUCUAUUCGUCUGCGACGAUGCCCAGAUCUGAUAAUUUUACGGAGUUCGAGAGGCUCUGUCUCUUUGAGCAAAUUAUCAACAAUUACGAUGAUCUAUACGGGCAACUUAAAGCCUCAAAUGGAAAAGAAAUGCGAGGCGAAAUAUGGAAGUCAAUAUUGGCAGACUUGCGAAGCACAGGUAAGCUUCAAGGGGACCGGACGGUCGAAGAAGUUAUGAAGAUGUUCGCAAACACAAAAACAAGAGUAUGGGACAAAUUUAAAAACAGUCAGAAAACUGGUGGUGGGCCAGCAAAACCAUUCAAACCGUCUGAGGAAUUGACAGACCACAAUUGGAUGGAAUAAUUGGAGGAAUUGAAACCUCAGCAGAUUCAUCAUCAUUGGUGCCAAAAGCAGUGGCUUCAUUGCAUGAAGACACUCAAAGUUCUCAUGGCACUCCAGUGGGUGAAUAUGAAGUCGAGAUGAAAAGUUCCAUUUUGAAUCAUGCUGUAAGGCCUGUAUUAGCUCCCCCGAUAUCGACAUCUUCUGUUGUGCAGUCAAAGGCAGCACCAUUAUCUGCUGAUGUGUGCUCUAAAAUGAAGGAAAAGAACAAAAUAUCAAAGAGAGCAAGGGAAGCUGUGGAGGAAGACCUCUACAGUCUGGAAAAAAAACGUCUUUUGCUGGAAAUUGUUCUGCUAGAGCAAAAAAUUGCUCAUGACAAAGAAUUGCACGAGCUGCGAAAAGAUAUGAUUUCAAAAGAUCACUUGAUUCAUUUUGAACUUUAAUGAAUAUAUAGAUAAAACAUAUAACAUCACAACAGUAAUUCUGUAAGACGCAAUAAAAUAGAUAUUGUGCAUAAUUAAGAUUUUUAAGUUAUGAAUAAUUCAUCAGAUGCAAUUCAUUGUCAUGAGCAAUCAUCUGUUCAAGCAGAACAAUUUCCAACAAAAUAUUUUCUUCAAGAUUUUAAAAGAUUUAUUUAUAUUAAAACAUUAUUAAGGCACGAUUGGUCAUUGUUGGCUCGGGUAAUACUUAAUUCGAAAUUGUGCCCCGGGUAUAUUUAAAUGUACCCCAGGUAUGGAAAAUUAAUUAAACCUAUCGGGGAAUUCUAAGGCUAAAUUGCUCCUUAUCGGCUUCUUUUUCUUCAAAUUAAUAAUGUUCAUAUCUAUGUCAAUAUUUUUUUGAAAUUGUCUCUAUAUUAUCGAAACUCAUACUCAAAACAGCAUGUUCAGGCAGGUUUUGUUCAAAGAGAAUUUUGUUUCGUAUUGCUUAGCGCUUUUUUUGACACUUGAUUAAGGGUGGGAAUAAAAACCGAGUAGUUUUAAUUGGCCAAGUAUUUUGUAGUAUAUUUUUAGUACCUGGGGUACAUUUAAAUAUACUUACAGAGUACCCUUGUUUCAUUUAAGUAGUACCCAAGACGACAAUGACCAAUCAAACAAUCAACCAUAUUUGUUGAUCGCUGAAUACUUAAAUACGCAAUCAAGCAUUAUUAAGUAUUGCUAAUUUCGUGUACAUAAAAAAACAACAACAUUGGAUUGUUUAUUUAGAUUGUUAAUUUAUGAGUUAAGUGUUAAAGUUAGCUGUAUUGUUAAGUUUAUUGUAACUUAAAAAAAAGUUUGUUUUAUAAAUGCUCAUUUGUUUAAUUACUGAUUAAAAUAAAACAAAAAAAAACGUCAAUUCAAAUAUAUGAUUUUGAUUCCAAUUUGGAUUUCUUGAAUCAUUUGUUUAAAUUUUCUAUGUGUAUGUUUUACAUCAGCGGGUGGUGGACGGACAGACGGACUGACAUGUGCAAAACAAUAUACCCCCUUUUCUUCGAAGGGGGGCAUAAAAAUGGAUUUGUUAUUUAAAUUGUUGAUUUGUUUAUUUUUAAAUUGUUAGGUGAAGGGUAAAGUUUGUAAAUUAGCUGUGUUGUAUAAUACAUUCAAAGUAACACGUGAUUGAUAUAUGAUCAUAAUUUGUUGUUGUUAAUAAUGAUAACUUAUUCAAAAAAAACAUCACUAAUAUCUAUUCACAUUCCAUUUGGAUUACUUUACUCGUUUGUAAUAGUGUUCUCGUGUUUAUGGUUUUAUUCAUGGGUGUUGAUGGUGAUUUUUGUAUUAUACAGUGGUAUGUAUAGCUGAAUAGAUUAUCUUAACCCAUUUAUGCCUUGUGGACUUCUCCCAUCCUUCUAAAAUGGAUCAAUUUAUUUCCAAAAAGAUACACAUGCAUGCAAAUACCAAGUUGCUAUCUUUAAUAUUGCAAAAGUUAUGGCCAAUGUUAAAGUUUUCGGACAGACGCACAGACUGACGGACAGUUCAACUGCUAUAUGCCACCCUACCGGGGGCAUAAAAAUUACAUUUCAACCUCGCUCUGUGAAAAGGGGGUUUAAUGCACCUGCAUUAAUGGAAGAAUGUGAUCAAUUAUAAAUGAGACGCGCUUUGAGAAAAAGGGGUUAAAUGCAAAUGCUUCAAGUGUCGUCCAAUAUUAGCCUGUGCAAUGUACAUGGGUUGUUCACUCUAAUGUGUAUAUUGAUAUUCACUCUUAUGUUCAUAUUGAAAUUAUUUGGUCAAUAAUUUAAUUUGUUUUCCCGUACCUUUUUUAAAAUAUGUUAGUGAUUCAAUAUCCCUGUAUCGCUGAAAGUAGCUCAGGCACCUAGUCCCCCGAGAUAUAACUCAUAUUAGCUGCUCUGUGGCAGGGGUAUCAUCGGACGCCACCCGACUCAUUGUCGCUAGGUUCGGCUAAUAUCAGCUUCUCCUCCCAUUUAAAGUUUAAAAAUCCGUGUGUCACUUGUGUUCGGAGGCACAGCACUUUAAAUGAACACACAUUUUAAAGACUUGUUUUGUCUUUAUCAGGUGUAAAUGUACACACAUUUUUAAGACUUGUUUUGUCUUUAUCAGGU
Dreissena polymorpha is the source of this 3269-nucleotide long non-coding RNA. RefSeq lists it as uncharacterized. NCBI's taxonomy places the organism in Eukaryota, Metazoa, Mollusca, Bivalvia, Myida, Dreissenidae. The transcript has 7 exons. The record is from RefSeq and is a predicted model, not a curated record.